This 555-nucleotide long non-coding RNA is filed under the name Nicotiana benthamiana. Its description in RNAcentral is "long non-coding RNA (NBEN_LNC024792)". Lineage: Eukaryota; Viridiplantae; Streptophyta; Magnoliopsida; Solanales; Solanaceae. The record is from RNAcentral.
CUCCACUCUUUUAAGUGUAUAUAACGCAGCGAUUAAUUCUGUUGAAUGCGGGCUGCACGGCACAGCACAGCGCGGCGGAGGAGUGAAAUUUCACUGAGAUUGAUUUUCUAGGUUUUCAAAUAAGGGGAUUGGGGAAAGGGGGAAAUAGGGAAUUUGGGGGGAAUAAGUGGUCGGUGAUCGACGGAGAGGAUGAUCAGUUGAAGUUAACUGUCGUUUUUAUAUCAUUUACUAUGCAAUAUAUGGGUGUGUGGAUUUCGGCUAGGUGUCAGUGACAAGUGACAACUUGUUAUGGUCCUCGUAUUCGUUCUCCUGGUGCUCCAUCUCCACUCUUUUAAGUGUAUAUAACGCAGCGAUUAAUUCUGUUGAAUGCGGGCUGCACGGCACGGCACAGCACAGCGCGGCGGAGGAGUGAAAUUUUACUGAGAUUGAUUUUCUAGGUUUUCAAAUAAGGGGAUUGGGGAAAGGAGGAAAUAGGGAAUUUGGGGGGAAUAAGUCGGUUGGUGAUCGACGGAGAGGAUGAUAAGUAGUCCUCUGUUCUAGUUUACAGAACCUAUC